UUUAAACUCUGUUUGCCUCCUUCCCCCCCCCCACACGCAUCCAGAUUUUAAUCCACGGGAUCCUGCCUUAUAAGGCACGCACUUGUCCUUAGGAUCUUCAAGCGAGCCAUAGGAUCAGAAUGUAUCCUUUUCCAUGAGUGCAGUAAAGGAAGGGAUGAAAGAAGGCCGCUUCAGAAUCAAAGCUGUAUUUUCCCCUCUAUGUGUGGCUCCACUUGAUUGGCAGAAACACAGCAAAAUAAGGCUCAAGGAUUACAAAUUGUCGUCCUGCUCUUGACUAUGGCCUCGUAAAGUAGGAUAGGAAUCACGUACUGUAGAGAGAGUCCAGACUCAGAAGACAGAAACUUGCCGCGACCACUGACUAAAUCCAUCAUUUCUGAGACGUUUGAGGAGAGGACUGCCGAGGGUCACCCAUCUUCAGCCACUAGAGCAGGUUGGAAUAUCCACAAUUGGAUUUGCCCGUGAUGUAUAAUUUUCGAACAGAAGUCUUUUGCAAAUUUGUCUGAGGAGCUGGACUUGAGCCACAAAAGCUCAAAUUAACAUAUAGCAGUUAGUCUUUAAGGUGAAUUGGACCAUGAUGUAUAAUUUUGGAACAGAACUCUUUUGCAAAUUUGUCUGAGGAGUUGGACUUGAGCCACAAAAGCUCAAAUUAAAAGUAUAGCAGUUAGUCUUUAAGGUGCCACAAUGUUUUUGUCUUCUUUAUCUUUUUUUCCCCCCAAUCUUUUGCUUUUGCCUUUAAAAAGUGUUACCUUUCCCCUCCCCAUGGCUGCCCAGAUGAUGUAUAAUUUUGGAACAGAACUCUUUUGCAAAUUUGUCUGAGGAGUUGGACUUGAGCCACAAAAGCUCAAAUUAAAAGUAUAGCAGUUAGUCUUUAAGGUGCCACAAUGUUUUUGUCUUCUUUAUCUUUUUUUCCCCCCAAUCUUUUGCUUUUGCCUUUACAAAGUGUUACCUUUCUCCUCCCCAUGGCUGCGCAGAACCUUAAGAGCCGGUCCCCGGGGAAGGUAGAGGUCAGGUGACUUUUGAAAACAAACAUCACCCGUGCCACUCCCCUUGUUCAGUCAUGCUUCGCGUUCCUCUGUGUGAUCGACACUG
Molecule: long non-coding RNA, 1089 nt
Filed under: Pogona vitticeps (central bearded dragon)
Lineage: Eukaryota; Metazoa; Chordata; Lepidosauria; Squamata; Agamidae
Description: lncRNA (ENSPVIG00000014782.1)
Source: RNAcentral